Molecule: non-coding RNA, 664 nt
Organism: Poecilia reticulata (guppy)
Lineage: Eukaryota; Metazoa; Chordata; Actinopteri; Cyprinodontiformes; Poeciliidae
Source: RefSeq, a predicted model, not a curated record
CCAGUCUCAGUCACAAUCAGAUCACUGAUGCCUCCACUGCUGGGUUACUCCAGCUGGUCUCCAUCAACUCCUCCAUCGGUUCUAUGAGACUCUCCAACAACAACAUCGUCAACAAAACUCCUUAUAAGGACAACAGGACGUUUGAAAUCUGAUGAAGCAGCUGGUCAUGUGACCAACAGGAGGUCCCWGUCUCUGAAUCAAUCAAUCAAAUUUUAUUUGUAUAGCACAUUUCAGCAGCAAGGCAUUUCAAAGUGCUUCACAUAGAUUUUUUAAAAUAAUGUUCUUAUUGUUUUCUGUUCCAUGUAGUCAACUGUAUGCAAAAAUUGUAAAUGCAACUUUUUAUAAACUUCUAUGUGGUUCAGCUUUUUGCAUUUAGAUAAAAUGCAGMAAGCAUUUUAUCUAAAAUGAUUUGAUUUGUUGAACUCAAAUGUUAAAAUUAGUUGAGUGAUUAAACUAAAUUUGCGUCUGAUCAAUAAUCUUUUUUUGUUAGUUUAUUGUUAAACCAUUUGUCAGUUCAGUGCAGAAUCCAAAGKAUUUAGAAUUAUUCUCCAAUGUUGAGUUUAAAGUUUGAUUUAGUUGUUUUUAGCUUUAAGGUUCUAAUGUAUGAAGAUUCUUUUUUGUGUUCAGAGACUGAAGAUGUUUAAAUAAAAAUAAAUUACAACCA